GCCACCCUGGGUGUCAAUCCCUGCACAGCCUACAGGAUGUUGAUGGACUUCGAGCAACUGCAGCCAGGGGAUUCUGUCAUCCAGAAUGCAUCCAACAGCGGAGUGGGGCAAGCGGUCAUCCAGAUCGCCGCAGCCCUGGGCCUAAGAACCAUCAAUGUGGUCCGAGACAGACCUGAUAUCCAGAAGCUGAGUGACAGACUGAAGAGUCUGGGGGCUGAGCAUGUCAUCACAGAAGAGGAGCUAAGAAGGCCCAAAAUGAAAAACUUCUUUAAGAUUAGGAAACUAAGACUCAGAAAAGAGGAAAUGCUUAACCAAAAUCAUAUAGUUUAUAAGGGCUCCAGAGAGUCAGAGCUGGCCUCAGUCUCUCCGAACUCAAAGCCUCUUAACCUUCCAGAACCUCCACCCCACAACAUGCCUAGACAUGCCCCAGCCACGGCUUGCUCUCAACUGUGUUGGUGGGAAAAGCUCCACAGAGCUGCUGCGGCAGUUAGCGCGUGGAGGAACCAUGGUAACCUAUGGGGGGAUGGCCAAGCAGCCCGUCGUAGCCUCUGUGAGCCUGCUCAUUUUUAAGGAUCUCAAACUUCGAGGCUUUUGGUUGUCCCAGUGGAAGAAGGAUCACAGUC
RNAcentral lists this small RNA (623 nucleotides) under Pan troglodytes (chimpanzee). RNAcentral's name for it is "processed transcript". The record is from RNAcentral. Lineage: Eukaryota; Metazoa; Chordata; Mammalia; Primates; Hominidae.